AAUCGGGAAAUCGGGAAAUCGGGAAUUCGAGAAAUCGAGAAAGCGAAAACGCGAAAUCGAGAAAUCUAUUUCAUUUCCCGUUUUCGUUAUCGCUUUCGCGUUUUCGCGUUUUUGCUUUCUUAAUUUCUCGAUUUCGCGUUUUCGCUUUCUCUAUUUCUCGAUUUCCCGAUUUCGCUUUCUCUAUUU
RNAcentral lists this small RNA (186 nucleotides) under Mytilus galloprovincialis (Mediterranean mussel). The record is from RNAcentral. Lineage: Eukaryota; Metazoa; Mollusca; Bivalvia; Mytilida; Mytilidae.